This 253-nucleotide ribosomal RNA is filed under the name uncultured bacterium. RNAcentral's name for it is "partial 16S ribosomal RNA". It matches the Rfam family "Bacterial small subunit ribosomal RNA", at positions 524 to 776 of the family's 1533-position model. The record is from RNAcentral.
UACGUAGGGUGCGAGCGUUAAUCGGAAUUACUGGGCGUAAAGCGUGCGCAGGCGGCUUUGUAAGCCAGAUGUGAAAUCCCCGGGCUUAACCUGGGAAUGGCAUUUGGGACUGCAAGGCUGGAGUUUGGCAGAGGAGACUGGAAUUCCCGGUGUAGCAGUGAAAUGCGUAGAUAUCAGGAAGAACACCCGUGGCGAAGGCGGCUCUCUGGGACGGUACUGACGCUGAGACGCGAAAGCGUGGGGAGCGAACAGG